Pogoniulus pusillus (Red-fronted tinkerbird) is the source of this 842-nucleotide long non-coding RNA. RefSeq lists it as uncharacterized. The transcript has 5 exons. NCBI's taxonomy places the organism in Eukaryota, Metazoa, Chordata, Aves, Piciformes, Lybiidae. The record is from RefSeq and is a predicted model, not a curated record.
AUCAAGAGUGAAAUGCAUAUUUAUAUAUUGUCUGGCUAAAACUUCUCUUCCUUAGGGUACUAUAAUUUGUUGAAGGUUCAUUUUCCUUGCAGAUUGCUGACAGAACCACUUUUAAGAGCAUGGAGAGACUUUUUUUAAAACAACAAAUUACUUCUGGAUUCUUUAAAUUAGGAAACAAAAAGGAGGUGUAAGCCAAAUUUCCCCUCUUCCCUUUACGAGUCGUUGCCUGAGCACGUUUCAAAACACUUUUAUCUUAGAAGCCAGACCUAAUACCUGCUUCUCCUUUGCAGAGAAAUAAAAAGCCAGUGGUGAACUUCUUGUGCAUCCCUGUCGUGCUGCAGUAAACGCUUGCUCCUUCCCUGGGCCUCCUUAGCAGCAGUCCAGCCCACGAGUGUGGAGCAGCAGGAACUUUGCUGUCCUGGAGAACAGGGGAGGUACCUAAUGAUUGGAGAAAAGGCAGAGUCAUCCCAGCCUUCAAAAGAGGCAAGAGGAGGACCCAGGAAACUACAGGCCACUCAGCCUUGCCUUCAUGCCUGGAAAGGUGAUGGAAGAGCUCAUCCUGGAGGUCAUCUUGAAGUACAUGGAGGAAAAGAAGAUUACCAGGCUUAUUAAGUGAGUGAGAAGAGACUGUGACAGCAGACAAGAUUCUGUUUCUAAAGUUUAAGUGAACAUGGUGAUGUAACAGCAGCCCUGACCUCAGGCUAAGAAGGAGGAAUGGGCUUUGUCCUCUGACCAUGCCCAGCUAAUAGGGUCUGAAGGAGGAAGGCUGGGCAGAUGUGCUCUUGUAGACAGAGAAAGGGAAAAAGAACUGUAAAAAAGGCAAACAAAAGCAAAGUCACACC